Molecule: unclassified non-coding RNA, 279 nt
Filed under: plant metagenome
Description: partial contains small subunit ribosomal RNA, internal transcribed spacer 1, and 5.8S ribosomal RNA
Source: RNAcentral
UUUCCGUAGGUGAACCUGCGGAAGGAUCAUUAUCAUACAGAGUGUGAGGGGCAUUCUAGAGCUGUCGCUGACCCAAAAGUCGUGCACGCCCGAGUGUGUCCUCUUGCAUAGUAAUCCAUCUCACCCUUUAUUCAUCACCGCGUGUUCACCCGUCGAGAUCAUCUCGUAAAAGAGCUCGCGUUUUAACACAAAACCACCGUUUAAAAGUCUAGAAUGACGACAUUGAUGCCAGCAAUACAACUUUCAACAACUGAGCUCUUGACUCUCGCAGCAAUGAAA